GCCUGGUUAGCUCAGUCGGUUGGGCUUCUGACUUUGGCUCAGGUCAUGGUCUCGCAGUGCGUGGGUUCGAGCCCCACAUCAGGCU
This is a transfer RNA of Felis catus (domestic cat), 85 nucleotides long. It matches the Rfam family "tRNA". Rfam says of the family: Transfer RNA (tRNA) molecules are approximately 80 nucleotides in length. The record is from Rfam. Lineage: Eukaryota; Metazoa; Chordata; Mammalia; Carnivora; Felidae.